CGUGGAUAAUCUGCCCUCAGAUGAAGAAUAAUCCCGGGAAACUGGGGCUAAUGCUUCAUAGGAGACGGGUGCUGGAAUGCUCUGUCUCUGAAAGGUCCGCCGUCUGAGGAUGAGUCUGCGUCCGAUUAGGUUGUUGUUGGGGUAACGGCCCACCAAGCCUUUGAUCGGUACGGGUUGUGGGAGCAAGAGCCCGGAGAUGGAUUCUGAGACAUGAAUCCAGGCCCUACGGGGCGCAGCAGGCGCGAAAACUUUACAAUGCGAGCAAUUGUGAUAAGGAAACCCUGAGUGCCUGUUAUCCAGGCUGUUCUG
RNAcentral lists this ribosomal RNA (309 nucleotides) under uncultured archaeon. Its description in RNAcentral is "bacterial SSU rRNA". It matches the Rfam family "Archaeal small subunit ribosomal RNA", at positions 99 to 414 of the family's 1478-position model. The record is from RNAcentral.